AUGGCGGCGCCCAUCUUUCGGUCCUUUUCCUGGGGCCGUUGGUCUGGUACCCUAAAACUCUCAGUAUUCUUGCCCUUGGGGCUGGCGUAAGGCCCACUCGGGCCCUCAGGGGUUACUGGCAGCGCAGAAGGCUCGAGGUCUGUUCAAGGACUUCUUCCCAGAGACGGGGACGAAAAUAGAGCUCCCAGAGCUCUUCGACCGUGGCACGGCGAGUUUUCCCCAAACCAUUUACUGUGGCUUCGACCCCACGGCGGACUCGCUUCAUGUGGGCCCUCUUCUUGCGCUGCUGGGCCUGUUUCAUUUGCAGCGAGCGGGCCACAACGUGAUCGCGCUGGUGGGAGGCGCCAAGGCGCGCCUGGGAGACCCGAGCGGCCGUACCAAGGAACGCGAGGCGCUGGAGACAGAGCGCGUGCGAGCCAACGCGCGCGCCCUGCGCCUAGGGCUUGAGGCUCUGGUGGCUAAUCACCAGCAGCUUUUCACUGAUGGGCGCUCCUGGGGCAGCUUCACUGUGCUGGACAACUCGGCCUGGUACCAGAAGCAGCACCUGGUGGACUUCCUGGCGGCAGUUGGGGGUCACUUCCGCAUGGGGACGCUGCUGAGCCGGCAGAGCGUGCAGCUGCGGCUCAAGAGCGCGGAGGGCAUGAGCUUGGCCGAAUUAUUUUACCAGGUGCUCCAGGCCUAUGACUUCUAUUACCUCUUCCAGCGUUAUGGAUGCAGGGUCCAGCUGGGCGGAUCUGAUCAGCUAGGCAACAUUAUGUCCGGAUAUGAGUUCAUCAACAAGUUGACUGGAGAAGAUGUAUUUGGAAUCACCGUUCCUCUAAUUACAAGUACAACUGGAGCAAAGCUGGGAAAGUCUGCUGGCAACGGUGUUUGGCUAAACAGAGAUAAGACAUCUCCAUUUGAAUUGUAUCAAUUCUUUGUCAGGCAACCAGAAGAUUCAGUGGAAAGGUACCUGAAGCUGUUUACUUUCCUGCCCCUUCCAGAGAUUGACCAUAUCAUGCAGCUGCAUGUCAAAGAGCCAGAAAGGCGGGGUCCUCAGAAACGACUGGCAGCAGAAGUAACAAAGCUUGUUCAUGGACGAGAAGGAUUGGAUUCUGCUAAAAGGUGUACACAAGCCCUUUAUCAUAGUAGCAUAGAUGCACUGGAGGUCAUGUCUGAUCAGGAGUUAAAAGAGUUGUUUAAAGAAGCUCCUGAUUUUCUGAAUUUUUUCUCGAUCCUGGAACAAGUGUCCUAGAUACCUGCCGCAAAGCAAAUGCCAUUCCAGAUGGUCCCCGAGGGUAUCGAAUGAUAACAGAAGGCGGAGUCAGCAUAAAUCACCGACAAGUAACAAAUGUAUUGUCUAUUAGAAAUGGGGCUAGAUGUCUUAAGGAUUUCUAA
RNA transcript from Rhinopithecus roxellana (golden snub-nosed monkey), 1377 nucleotides. It is a transcript of the gene named tyrosine--tRNA ligase, mitochondrial pseudogene, with no coding region annotated. The transcript has a single exon. The record is from RefSeq and is a predicted model, not a curated record. NCBI's taxonomy places the organism in Eukaryota, Metazoa, Chordata, Mammalia, Primates, Cercopithecidae.